GUGCCAGCCGCCGCGGUAAUACGAAGGGGGCUAGCGUUGCUCGGAAUCACUGGGCGUAAAGGGUGCGUAGGCGGACAUUUAAGUCAGGGGUGAAAGCCUGAGGCUCAACCUCAGAAUUGCCUUUGAUACUGGGUGUCUCGAGACCGGUAGAGGUGAGUGGAACUGCGAGUGUAGAGGUGAAAUUCGUAGAUAUUCGCAAGAACACCAGUGGCGAAGGCGGCUCACUGGACCGGUUCUGACGCUGAGGCACGAAAGCGUGGGGAGCAAACAGGAUUAGAUACCCUCGUAGUCC
RNAcentral lists this ribosomal RNA (292 nucleotides) under uncultured bacterium. RNAcentral describes it as "partial 16S ribosomal RNA". It matches the Rfam family "Bacterial small subunit ribosomal RNA", at positions 505 to 796 of the family's 1533-position model. The record is from RNAcentral.